This 607-nucleotide long non-coding RNA is filed under the name Physcomitrium patens. RNAcentral describes it as "long non-coding RNA (PPAT_LNC012001)". Lineage: Eukaryota; Viridiplantae; Streptophyta; Bryopsida; Funariales; Funariaceae. The record is from RNAcentral.
AAGAAACACAAAGAAAUCAUAAAUUAAAUUCAAAGAAAUAUAAUAAAAAAAUUUAAAAAAAUAUAAAAAUAAUAAUAAUCUUAAAGACAUAUAUAAAUAAAAACUUUUAAAGAAAAAAUAGAGAAUCCUAAAAAAAUAUUAAAAUUAGAGUCAUAAAUAAAUCCUAAGUAAAUUUUAAAUAAAUCCUAAUUUAAUCCUAAUUAAAAUCUUAAUAAAUCUUAACCAAAUCCUAGAUCAAUUCUAACUAAAUCAUAAUUUAAAUCUUAACCAAAUAUUAAAUCAAAUCCUAACCAAAUUCUAAUCAAAUCCUAGAUCCUAAAUCAAUCCUAAGCAAUCUUUAAUCAAAUCUUAAAUCUUAAAUAAAUUCCUAACAAAUCCUAUUGCAGAUUGAAAAUUCAAUAAAUAAUACUUAAAAUAUUGUUUUUGACUAAAAUUUCAUCCAAAAUUCAACCAACAAGCAAUCAAUAAGCAUACAAAAUUUAAAAAGAAUCAGAUUUAGCAAUCGUAAAAAAAAGCUCUCAAAACCUCUUAGUUAUUGGCCACCUUCUUUUUCCAACUUGAAUAUUCAUCUUACAACAAAAAUUUCUCUUUAUUAAACUAUUCAAAA